This 253-nucleotide ribosomal RNA is filed under the name uncultured Gardnerella sp. RNAcentral's name for it is "partial 16S ribosomal RNA". It matches the Rfam family "Bacterial small subunit ribosomal RNA", at positions 103 to 354 of the family's 1533-position model. Lineage: Bacteria; Bacillati; Actinomycetota; Actinomycetes; Bifidobacteriales; Bifidobacteriaceae. The record is from RNAcentral.
CGGGUGAGUAAUGCGUGACCAACCUCGCCCCAUGCUCCAGAAUAGCUCUUGGAAACGGGUGGUAAUGCUGGAUGCUCCAACUUGACGCAUGUCUUGUUGGGAAAGUGUUUAGUGGCAUGGGAUGGGGUCGCGUCCUAUCAGCUUGUAGGCGGGGUAAUGGCCCACCUAGGCUUCGACGGGUAGCCGGCCUGAGAGGGCGGACGGCCACAUUGGGACUGAGAUACGGCCCAGACUCCUACGGGAGGCAGCAGAC